GACAGUAUAGCUCAGUGGUAGAGGGCGUGCUUAGCAUGCACGAGGUCCUGGGUUCAACCCCCAGUACUUCUG
This 72-nucleotide transfer RNA is filed under the name Camelus bactrianus (Bactrian camel). It matches the Rfam family "tRNA". From Rfam's summary of the family: Transfer RNA (tRNA) molecules are approximately 80 nucleotides in length. Their secondary structure includes four short double-helical elements and three loops (D, anti-codon, and T loops). Further hydrogen bonds mediate the characteristic L-shaped molecular structure. tRNAs have two regions of fundamental functional importance: the anti-codon, which is responsible for specific mRNA codon recognition, and the 3' end, to which the tRNAs corresponding amino acid is attached (by aminoacyl-tRNA synthetases). tRNAs cope with the degeneracy of the genetic code in two manners: having more than one tRNA (with a specific anti-codon) for a particular amino acid; and 'wobble' base-pairing, i.e. permitting non-standard base-pairing at the 3rd anti-codon position. The record is from Rfam by way of RNAcentral. RNAcentral also lists the same sequence under 2 other names. Lineage: Eukaryota; Metazoa; Chordata; Mammalia; Artiodactyla; Camelidae.